UACGUAGGGAGCAAGCGUUGUCCGGAAUCAUUGGGCGUAAAGCGCGCGUAGGUGGCCCCGUAAGUCCGCUGUGAAAGUCAAGGGCUCAACCCUUGAAAGCCGGGCCGAUACUGUCGGACUAGAGUCCGGAAGAGGCGAGUGGAAUUCCCGGUGUAGCGGUGAAAUGCCGCAGAUAUCGGGAGGAACACCAAUGGCGAAGGCAGCUCGCUGGGACGGUACUGACGCUGAGGCGCGAAAGCGUGGGGAGCAAACAGG
RNAcentral lists this ribosomal RNA (255 nucleotides) under uncultured bacterium. RNAcentral's name for it is "partial 16S ribosomal RNA". It matches the Rfam family "Bacterial small subunit ribosomal RNA", at positions 524 to 776 of the family's 1533-position model. The record is from RNAcentral.